RNAcentral lists this ribosomal RNA (268 nucleotides) under uncultured bacterium. RNAcentral describes it as "partial 16S ribosomal RNA". It matches the Rfam family "Bacterial small subunit ribosomal RNA", at positions 86 to 353 of the family's 1533-position model. The record is from RNAcentral.
CUAAGCUUAGUGGCGGACGGGUGAGUAACGCGUGGGUAACCUGCCUCACACUGGGGAUAACAGUUAGAAAUAGUUGCUAAUACCGCAUAAGCGCACGGUUCCGCAUGGAACAGUGUGAAAAACUCCGGUGGUGUGAGAUGGACCCGCGUCUGAUUAGCCAGUUGGCGGGGUAACGGCCCACCAAAGCGACGAUCAGUAGCCGGCCUGAGAGGGUGAACGGCCACAUUGGGACUGAGACACGGCCCAAACUCCUACGGGAGGCAGCAUG